RNAcentral lists this long non-coding RNA (2089 nucleotides) under Homo sapiens (human). RNAcentral's name for it is "HSALNT0404696". The record is from RNAcentral. Lineage: Eukaryota; Metazoa; Chordata; Mammalia; Primates; Hominidae.
CCUAGAGGUGCCGGCCCCACGAUGGAGAGCACGUAGUGCCCCCCGGGAGUCAGGAGGCCGGGCCUGACCUCGGGGGCUGCAGCCAGGGGAGGCCGGCACCCCAGAUAACCCCCAAAGAACUGCAGGCCCUGAGGCGAGGCCAGAGUGGGGGCGGGGGCAGGUCCCAGCCGAGGAGGUGCUCCGUGCUGCCUCAGCAGAACCCAUGAUGGGCUGGCCCAAGGCUCUGAAGGUGGAAAGGCCUCACACAUUCUGCCCCGGCUGACGCCUUCCUUGGGCCAGUGCUCGGGGGUGUGUAACAAACGCCAAGACGCAUUGUAAAGAAGGAAGCCUGCGUUUCCAUCACCGGCUUAAUAUCAAACAAAAGUGCAAUUUUGAAAAUGUAGUCCAAGGUUUUCUGUGGUGCGGAAAUGGCCAGGCCAGACCUCCGUGGGUGGUCCUUCGUGUCCACGUCAGCGCCCUACAUCCACACUGUGGGCACCAUGACCUCACAUGCGGAGCGGAGCAGGGCCGGCGCCCGGAGAGCCAGGCUGGUCACGAACGAGGCCUAGAGGGCGUCAGGCCCCAAAGCACUCACAGGCUUCUCCUCUGUCCUCGGGGCCUUCAGACACCUGCAUGCGCCGAUUCAGCCACCCGCGCGCGCCGAUUCCCCUGGCCAUGGGGUUUCCAAAGUGUGUGCUCAGAGGACAGUUUCCUCCAGGAUGACCUGAGGCGUUUGCUGAGAGGCACAGGCUGAGCCCCCGUGCUGAUGCCACGACCGAGGGAACGGGUCUCCCUGUCGGCGUGAACUGACCCGGCCAGGCGUCCACUGCCACUCGGACUGUCUCCCAGGCACGUGGCGCCCACACGGGCAGAACACGCCCUCCACACACGCGGCUUCGGGCAGAACACGAGGCGCCCUCCACACACGCGGCUUCGGGGCUUGUCAUGAAAAAAGCUGAAUGCUGGGGGUGCAGCUUUCACCAACAGAAUCCCGUUUGGAAGGGACGCGAGUGACGCUCCGUGUUUCGUUCAGCCUGCAGGCCUGCAGAAGCUGCAUCUCGGGAUGGCCAAGAGCCCGGCCAGGCCCCACGGCUGCACCCAGGACGGGAUUCAUGCCCCAUGCCUGGCUUCUCACGACCACAGAGUGCCUUUCCCGGGACUGGAUGGAGGCAGAGUGAGAGAAGAGCCUGGAGCAAGUGUUUUGGACCACAGUGAUCAAACACGGAGCCCGUGGGAGGACGUGGGAGGACGUGCGGGGCUUUGCCGGGCGAGCCCGAUGCUGCUCACGGCACCUGGAGUGUUCGGGCCGCUAUUUGGGCGGUGUUCUGAGCAGCCGUCAGACCUUGAGUUUUGCUGUCAAAAGCUCUUCUCUCCUGCCCCGAAAUAUACCCAGUCCAUGCCCCAAGAGGAAAGGCCUUUGUGCCAGGUGGGCACCCGGCUGCCUCUUGGCAAAGACUUGUUGGAAAAAUGAGUGAGUGACGAGGCUGCUGGUCAGCGUGUGGCCUGUGGCGUCACUGGGGCCUCUGGCGGCUGCUGGAACCAGAAGAGGAGCCUGCGCUGCAACCCAGGCCGCACCACAUCAGGGUCUCACUGGGAGCCGGAGAGCUUGUUCCCAGGCAACCCUGAAACAGAGAAGUGUCCUUGGAGGCUUCACCCACGCAGACCCACGGCUUCCUGGUAGAAGCCGUCUGCACCCCCGCACUGACCUGGCUCUGUGAGGAGAGCGGGGAGGGGCUCCAGGGAAACAUCCUGGCGUUGGCGUAGCCAGCCUGUGAGUCACGGGGAAGCCGGCUGCCCGGAUGCCCCCCAAGGACCCGGUGAGUCCACACACAGUACAGCAGGGCCUGGGCCCGCACCACCGCCUUUUCCUGCAGGCCCCUCAUGUCCACUGACUGCACCUCCAGGGACUCUGCCCGGCAACCCAGGCGCCCCCGACACACCCCACCACACAGCUCCUUCUGCCUCACCCACACCCCGCCAGACCCUGAGCGCUCACGAAGUCUCCUUGUCAAGAACUUUGAGAGCCAGUUGCUAAACACAGAUGUUAUUUAUUUAUUUGAGACAGAGUCUUGCUCUGUCACCCAGGCUGGAGUGCAGUGGCACGAUCUCA